Long non-coding RNA from Helianthus annuus (common sunflower), 560 nucleotides. RefSeq lists it as uncharacterized. The record is from RefSeq and is a predicted model, not a curated record. The transcript has 4 exons. Lineage: Eukaryota; Viridiplantae; Streptophyta; Magnoliopsida; Asterales; Asteraceae.
CUCUUUCCUUUCAUCUUCCUCCUAACUUCUUCAUCUUCUCCAUCUUCCUCAUAACAACUUCUUCAUCUUCAUUCAAGAAUUUCACCAUUAACAACCUUACAAAGUUUCAAGCGACCAUUGGUCUUUGUUCAUCAUUGCCCAACACAUAGGACGUGUUUAUAUUUUGGAUUCAACAAAGAUAAAAGGCGAAAAGAAUGCUUCUAACUAUCGUCUUUCAAGCCUAAUUCCUACCGCCUUAGGAUCCAAGUUCAACUACACAAUGGUUGAUUGUAAGCAACAAAAGGGUGGAUGAGAAUGCGGCUACAUGGUUCUCCAACAUAUGUUUGACUUUGUCAAUUUGUAUCAAAACCAAUUUCCCGAUGAAAUGUGGCACGACACGAGAGUGGCUACGGAUAAUGAAAUAGAUGUUUUGUUGAUGACGUUGAUGCCGAAGUUUUUUAGCGAGUUAGGUAUUCCGUUAGUUUAGCUUAUGUGUAGUUUGUUAUGUGUUCACAAAUGAUUGUAUUUUGACGGGUUUAUUUCCGAAUUGGAUGUGGGGUUUAUUUUGGAUUUGAAUGUGC